This 73-nucleotide transfer RNA is filed under the name Nesophrosyne sp. 58 GMB-2012. Its description in RNAcentral is "tRNA-Pro". Lineage: Eukaryota; Metazoa; Arthropoda; Insecta; Hemiptera; Cicadellidae. The record is from RNAcentral.
CAACGAGUAGUUUAUAAUAUUUAAGAAUAUUAAUUUUGGGUAUUAAAGGUAUAGAGUUUUUCUAUUUGGUUGA